AACGAACGCUGGCGGCAUGCCUAACACAUGCAAGUCGAACGAGACCUUCGGGUCUAGUGGCGCACGGGUGCGUAACGCGUGGGAACCUGCCCUUAGGUUCGGAAUAACUCCCCGAAAGGGGUGCUAAUACCGGAUAAUGUCUUCGGACCAAAGAUUUAUCGCCUUUGGAUGGGCCCGCGUUGGAUUAGCUAGUUGGUAGGGUAAAAGCCUACCAAGGCGACGAUCCAUAGCUGGUCUGAGAGGAUGAUCGGCCACACUGGGACUGAGACACGGCCCAGACUCCAAAGUGCGGCAGCAGGGGAGAAUAGUGAAAUAUGGGCGGAAGGCAGGUGCAACAGCGCAGAGUCCGGGAAGAAGGACGGUGGGUAGGAAAACGCUUGCGACUGUGACGGAGGCUGAGUGACGGUAAUGAGUAGAGAAGCACCGGCUAACUACGUG
This 438-nucleotide ribosomal RNA is filed under the name uncultured bacterium. RNAcentral describes it as "partial 16S ribosomal RNA". It matches the Rfam family "Bacterial small subunit ribosomal RNA", at positions 29 to 507 of the family's 1533-position model. The record is from RNAcentral.